This 303-nucleotide ribosomal RNA is filed under the name uncultured bacterium. Its description in RNAcentral is "partial 16S ribosomal RNA". It matches the Rfam family "Bacterial small subunit ribosomal RNA", at positions 507 to 807 of the family's 1533-position model. The record is from RNAcentral.
AGCAGUCGCCGCGGGAACACAGAGGGUGCGAGCGUUAAUCGGAUUUACUGGGCGUAAAGCGUGCGUAGGCGGCUUUUUAAGUCGGAUGUGAAAUCCCUGAGCUUAACUUAGGAAUUGCAUUCGAUACUGGGAAGCUAGAGUAUGGGAGAGGAUGGUAGAAUUCCAGGUGUAGCGGUGAAAUGCGUAGAGAUCUGGAGGAAUACCGAUGGCGAAGGCAGCCAUCUGGCCUAAUACUGACGCUGAGGUACGAAAGCAUGGGGAGCAAACAGGAUUAGAUACCCCUGUAGUCCCUGUCUCUUAUAC